Non-coding RNA from Mus caroli (Ryukyu mouse), 762 nucleotides. The record is from RefSeq and is a predicted model, not a curated record. Lineage: Eukaryota; Metazoa; Chordata; Mammalia; Rodentia; Muridae.
CCUCGGACCACGGACAGCGCCCAGCGCAAGCUUACCUCCAAAACGCGUCCACUGCUGCGCCUCAACGACUAGACGCGCGCCCAGGGGCGCCGAGCUCUCGGAGCCGUCCGCCGGGCCCCGCCCUCCAGCACCGCCCACAUGCCCCUCCUCCUCCCGCUCCGCCUAGGCGCGCACUAAGGCCCCUCCCAGCAGGAGCGCGGCGCACUGACACCCGAGGCAGCCACUGCCUUACAAGGCUGCCACAGGCACAGCCAGCCUAUGGACACCGCUCGACUCAGGGGACGCUUGCCACGGGAUCUCCACCCCACUGACUGUGGUGAGGUCAUGGUCGCACUGGUGGCUCUGAAGAAGAUUAUGGGGUUAGUAAGGAGGCAAUGGGGCUGGAAGAUUUGGUUCAAUAGACUCUUCAGCCCUCCAGGUUCUGUCUCAGACUCUAGCCAAGUCACCCACUGAGGUUUUGGCUUGGCCACUUGACUUAUGUCCCACAAAGCCCCAAGUCCUGCUGUGAUGGUUUGUAUAUGCUUGGACCAAGAAGUGGCACUAUUUGGAGGUGUGGCCUUGUUGGGGUAGGUGUGACCUGGUUGGAGUAGGUGUGUCACUGUGGGUAUGGACUUAAGACCCUCACCCUAGCUGCCUGGAAGUGAGUAGCAGCCUUCAGAUGAAGAUGUAGAACUCUCAGCUCCUCCUGCACCAUGCCUGCCUAGAUGCUGCCAUGCUCCCACAUGAUAAUGGACCGAACCUCAGAACCUGUAAACCAACCCC